RNAcentral lists this ribosomal RNA (468 nucleotides) under uncultured bacterium. RNAcentral describes it as "partial 16S ribosomal RNA". It matches the Rfam family "Bacterial small subunit ribosomal RNA", at positions 28 to 507 of the family's 1533-position model. The record is from RNAcentral.
GACGAACGCUGGCGGCGUGCUUAACACAUGCAAGUCGAGCGAACAGGCCCUGCUUUUGUUGGUUGCUCGUGUGGCGAACGCGUGAGUAACACGUGUGUAACAUGUCCUUGUCUUUGGGGUAACUUUAGGGGACUCGGGCUAUUAUCGGAUAGGAUCUCCUGCUGCGCGGUGGGCGAUGGUGAGUUUCGGUCGUUGGGGCUGGUCUCGCGGCUUAUCAGCUUGUGGGUGGAGUAGUGGCUUACCAAGGCUGUGACGGGUAGCCGGCCUUAGAGCGUGACCGGCGACAUUGCGACUGCGAUACGGCCCAGACUCGUACCGUCCGCAGUAGGCGGGAAUAUUGCGCAACGACCGGAAGCCUGAUGCAGCAACGCCGCGUUCGUGAUACCGGGUUACGGGUUGUAAACCACUUUCUCCUUUGCCAAAGCCUGAGUGACGGUAAUGAGUAAGGAAGCACCGGCUAACUACGUG